This 194-nucleotide ribosomal RNA is filed under the name uncultured bacterium. Its description in RNAcentral is "partial 16S ribosomal RNA". It matches the Rfam family "Bacterial small subunit ribosomal RNA", at positions 118 to 313 of the family's 1533-position model. The record is from RNAcentral.
UGAGCAACCUGCCCUUGACUCUGGAAUAACAGCUGGAAACAGCUGCUAAUACCGGAUACGACCUCCGAUGGUAUCAUCUGGAGGUGGAAAGCUCCGACGGUCAAGGAUGGGCUCGCGGCCUAUCAGCUUAUUGGUGAGGUAACGGCUCACCAAGGCUUCGACGGGUAGCCGGCCUGAGAGGGUGACGUCGCCAC